GAAGUAUCGCUACGUAUUAUCUUUGCUUCUACUCUUCCCUAAGCAUCCACAGAAGGCUACUGUCAGAGACAGACCUUUGUUCUGACCUGGGUUGGCUGCUCUUAUGUUCCUGUCUUGCCAGCAUUUACACAGCUCCACGAACAUGUGCAUAUUGGCGAGCUAGAAAGCUUUUUGGAUACUGUGUCUGUGUAUAAACAAGACAUUCUUUCUUCUGUAUUUUCCCUGUCUUAUUAAUGGAUCCUGACAAAAAUUCUUCUAUGGGAUUGCUGUCAUCAAGCAACUCUGGACCAUCAUUUUCUCCCAUCAACAGAAAUCUCCUCAAGAGGUGUUUACAAGACUGCCAUAGAGAGCCUCCAACACAGUCUAUGUUUGUUCAUCCUUGUGCCACUGUGACUAGUAAAUUAAAUUAAACUGAC
Molecule: long non-coding RNA, 416 nt
Filed under: Apteryx rowi (Okarito brown kiwi)
Lineage: Eukaryota; Metazoa; Chordata; Aves; Apterygiformes; Apterygidae
Description: lncRNA (ENSARWG00000010013.1)
Source: RNAcentral